This 497-nucleotide ribosomal RNA is filed under the name uncultured bacterium. RNAcentral describes it as "partial 16S ribosomal RNA". It matches the Rfam family "Bacterial small subunit ribosomal RNA", at positions 28 to 507 of the family's 1533-position model. The record is from RNAcentral.
GAUGAACGCUGGCGGCGUGCCUAAUACAUGCAAGUCGAGCGGACGGACGAGAAGCUUGCUUCUCUGAUGUUAGCGGCGGACGGGUGAGUAACACGUGGAUAACCUACCUAUAAGACUGGGAUAACUUCGGGAAACCGGAGCUUAUACCGGAUAAUAUUUUGAACCGCAUGGUUCAAAAGUGAAAGACGGUCUUGCUGUCACUUAUAGAUGGAUCUGCGCUGCAUUAGCUAGUUGGUAAGGUAACGGGUUACCAAGGCAACGAGGCAUAGCCGAGCUAAGAGGGUGAUAGGCCACCCGGGAACUGGAACACGGUCCAGACUACUACGGGAGGCAGCAGAAGGGAAUGUUCCGCAAUGGGCGAAAGCCUGACGGAGCAACGCCGCGUGAGAGAUGAAGGUCUUCGGAUCGUAAAACUCUGUUAUUAGGGAAGAACAUAUGUGUAAGUAACUGUGCACAUCUUGACGGUACCUAAUCAGAAAGCCACGGCUAACUACGUG